RNAcentral lists this ribosomal RNA (499 nucleotides) under uncultured bacterium. Its description in RNAcentral is "bacterial SSU rRNA". It matches the Rfam family "Bacterial small subunit ribosomal RNA", at positions 19 to 518 of the family's 1533-position model. The record is from RNAcentral.
AUGGCUCAGGAUGAACGCUGGCGGCGUGCUUAACACAUGCAAGUCGAACGAAGCAACUAUCACGAUCCCUUCGGGGUGACGAUUGUUGACUGAGUGGCGGACGGGUGAGUAACGCGUGGGUAACCUACCUUGUACAGGGGGACAACAGUUGGAAACGACUGCUAAUACCGCAUAAGCGCACAGCUUCGCAUGAAGCAGUGUGAAAAGUUUUUCGGUACAAGAUGGACCCGCGUCUGAUUAGCUAGUUGGUGAGGUAACGGCCCACCAAGGCGACGAUCAGUAGCCGACCUGAGAGGGUGACCGGCCACAUUGGGACUGAGACACGGCCCAAACUCCUACGGGAGGCAGCAGUGGGGAAUAUUGCACAAUGGGCGAAAGCCUGAUGCAGCGAACCGCCGCGUGAGCGAAGAAGUAUUUCGGUAUGUAAAGCUCUAUCAGCAGGGAAGAUAAUGACGGUACCUGACUAAGAAGCACCGGCUAAAUACGUGCCAGCAGCCGC